CGCAAGCCUGACGGAGCAAGACCGCGUGCGGGAUGACGGCCUAAUGGUUGUAAACCGCUUUUCUCUGGGAAGAUGAUGACGGUACCAGAGGAAUCAGCCUCGGCUAACUCCGUGCCAGCAGCCGCGGUAAUACGGAGGAGGCAAGCGUUAUCCGGAAUUAUUGGGCGUAAAGCGUCCGUAGGUGGUUAUUCAAGUCUGCUGUCAAAGCGUGGGGCUUAACUCCAUAGAGGCAGUGGAAACUGGAUGACUUGAGUGCGGUAGGGGUCGAGGGAAUUCCCAGUGUAGCGGUGAAAUGCGUAGAUAUUGGGAAGAAUACCAGUGGCGAAAGCGCUCGACUGGGCCUGCACUGACACUGAGGGACGAAAGCUAGGGGAGCG
RNAcentral lists this ribosomal RNA (377 nucleotides) under uncultured cyanobacterium. RNAcentral describes it as "bacterial SSU rRNA". It matches the Rfam family "Bacterial small subunit ribosomal RNA", at positions 376 to 770 of the family's 1533-position model. The record is from RNAcentral. Lineage: Bacteria; Bacillati; Cyanobacteriota.